AAAACGCCUAAACCGUGUUCUGAUACUACUAAAUAUGACACUCCUAGCCCAUCUACAAUGUAGUCAAGCAAAGGAUGUCACACUCAGUGCCGGAGCAUUUUUAACCUACCUUAUUACAAUUCUCAGAACUUAAUUUAUUUAUUAAAAAGCUCUCAAGUGAAGUCUAUAUCACAAAUUAAAAUUUUAAUUAAUUUGAAAUUACAAAAUUUUUACAGAAAA
This 219-nucleotide unclassified non-coding RNA is filed under the name Hevea brasiliensis (rubber tree). Lineage: Eukaryota; Viridiplantae; Streptophyta; Magnoliopsida; Malpighiales; Euphorbiaceae. The record is from RNAcentral.